This 450-nucleotide ribosomal RNA is filed under the name uncultured bacterium. Its description in RNAcentral is "bacterial SSU rRNA". It matches the Rfam family "Bacterial small subunit ribosomal RNA", at positions 354 to 796 of the family's 1533-position model. The record is from RNAcentral.
GUGGGGAAUUUUGGACAAUGGGCGAAAGCCUGAUCCAGCCAUGCCGCGUGCAGGAUGAAGGCCUUCGGGUUGUAAACUGCUUUUGUACGGAACGAAAAGACUCCUUCUAAUAAAGGGGGUCCAUGACGGUACCGUAAGAAUAAGCACCGGCUAACUACGUGCCAGCAGCCGCGGUAAUACGUAGGGUGCAAGCGUUAAUCGGAAUUACUGGGCGUAAAGCGUGCGCAGGCGGUUAUAUAAGACAGAUGUUAAAUCCCCGGGCUCAACCUGGGAACUGCAUUUGUGACUGUAUAGCUAGAGUACGGUAGAGGGGGAUGGAAUUCCGCGUGUAGCAGUGAAAUGCGUAGAUAUGCGGAGGAACACCGAUGGCGAAGGCAAUCCCCUGGACCUGUACUGACGCUCAUGCACGAAAGCGUGGGGAGCAAACAGGAUUAGAUACCCUAGUAGUCC